AUGCAGCCUGCUUCUGCAAAGUGGUACUAUCGAAGGGACUAUGUCUUCACUGAAUUCUGUGAACACAGUAAGGAUGUUCAUGUAAAUUUUGAAAAAUCCAAACUUAACAUUCAGUUGUCUCAGAGGAAGUGAUAAUUUUAAGUAUUUAAAUGAAGUUGAUCUUUUUCACAGUAUUGAUCCUAAUGAUUCCAAGCAUAAAAAAAACGGACAGAUCAAUUGUAUGUUGUUUACGAAAAGGAGAAUCUGGCCAGUCAUAGCCAAGGUUAACAAAAGGAAGGGCAAAACUCAAUUGGCUUAGUGUGGACUUCAGUAAUUGGAAACACUGGGAAGAUGGUUCAGAUGAAGACAGGUCUAAUUUUGAUCGUUUCUCUGAGAUGAUGAACAACAUGGGUGGUGAAGAGGAUGCAGAUUGACCAGAAGUAGAUGGAGCAGGUGAUGAUUCACAAGACAGCGAUGAUGAAAAAAUGCCAGAUCGGGAGUAA
Molecule: long non-coding RNA, 482 nt
Filed under: Homo sapiens (human)
Lineage: Eukaryota; Metazoa; Chordata; Mammalia; Primates; Hominidae
Description: non-protein coding lnc-RAB10-4:1
Source: RNAcentral